AUUUAACUCUGGCGGCAUGCUUUACACAUGCAAGUCGAACGGCAGCGCGGGCUUCGGCCUGGCGGCGAGUGGCGAACGGGUGAGUAAUACAUCGGAACGUGCCCAGUAGUGGGGGAUAGCUCGGCGAAAGCCGGAUUAAUACCGCAUACGACCUGAGGGUGAAAGCGGGGGAUCUUCGGACCUCGCGCUAUUGGAGCGGCCGAUGGCGGAUUAGCUAGUUGGUGGGGUAAAGGCCUACCAAGGCGACGAUCUGUAGCUGGUCUGAGAGGACGACCAGCCACACUGGGACUGAGACACGGCCCAGACUCCUACGGGAGGCAGCAGUGGGGAAUUUUGGACAAUGGGCGAAAGCCUGAUCCAGCAAUGCCGCGUGUGUGAUGAAGGCCUUCGGGUUGUAAAGCACUUUUGGCGGGAACGAAAAGGACUGUGCCAAUACCACGGUUCGAUGACGGUACCCGCAGAAUAAGCACCGGCUAACUACGUG
Molecule: ribosomal RNA, 484 nt
Filed under: uncultured bacterium
Lineage: Bacteria
Description: partial 16S ribosomal RNA
Rfam family: Bacterial small subunit ribosomal RNA
Source: RNAcentral